AGAUUAUCCACUCGAAGUUCUGAUCAGAUUGUCCUUUUCGGGAGUGCUAGGUCGUGCAGAAGGCACUGGAUGGCUAGAAUAAGCUUCUUCCUUUGAAUCUCUCAGACUCUUCUAAAUCAAAGGAUGGAGCUACAAGAGGAGGUUGUGGUGUAGGGGAUUGAAAUAAGACCCUCUUGUAUUUCUUCUCACACAAAAAUCUAGAGCUGAAAUCCUAAAAUCUCACCCUAGACC
This 231-nucleotide long non-coding RNA is filed under the name Elaeis guineensis (African oil palm). RNAcentral's name for it is "long non-coding RNA (EGUI_LNC057829)". The record is from RNAcentral. Lineage: Eukaryota; Viridiplantae; Streptophyta; Magnoliopsida; Arecales; Arecaceae.